CAGCCGUAAACGAUGCGCGUUAGGUGUAUCGACGACCACGAGUCGUCGAGGUGCCGAAGGGAAACCGUGAAACGUGCCGCCUGGGAAGUACGGUCGCAAGGCUGAAACUUAAAGGAAUUGGCGGGGGAGCACCACAACAGGUGGAGCCUGCGGUUUAAUUGGAUUCAACACCGUAAAACUCACCAGGGAAGACUGUUACAUGAAGGCCGAGAUGAAGACUCUGCUAGAUUUUCAGAGAGGAGGUGCAUGGCGUCAGUGACU
RNAcentral lists this ribosomal RNA (261 nucleotides) under uncultured archaeon. RNAcentral's name for it is "partial 16S ribosomal RNA". It matches the Rfam family "Archaeal small subunit ribosomal RNA", at positions 748 to 1008 of the family's 1478-position model. The record is from RNAcentral.